RNAcentral lists this small RNA (139 nucleotides) under Pongo abelii (Sumatran orangutan). The record is from RNAcentral. Lineage: Eukaryota; Metazoa; Chordata; Mammalia; Primates; Hominidae.
CAGGUUAGAAAAGGAGCACGUUGGCCGGGCUUGGUGGCUCACACCUGUAAUCCCAGCACUUUGGGAGGCCAAGGCGGGCAGGUCACCUGAGGUCAGGAGUUCGAGACCCGCCUGGCCAACACGGUGAAAACCCAUCUCU